This 497-nucleotide ribosomal RNA is filed under the name uncultured bacterium. Its description in RNAcentral is "partial 16S ribosomal RNA". It matches the Rfam family "Bacterial small subunit ribosomal RNA", at positions 28 to 507 of the family's 1533-position model. The record is from RNAcentral.
GAUGAACGCUGGCGGCGUGCCUAAUACAUGCAAGUCGAGCGAACAGACGAGGAGCUUGCUCCUCUGACGUUAGCGGCGGACGGGUGAGUAACACGUGGAUAACCUACCUAUAAGACUGGGAUAACUUCGGGAAACCGGAGCUAAUACCGGAUAAUAUAUUGAACCGCAUGGUUCAAUAGUGAAAGACGGUUUUGCUGUCACUUAUAGAUGGAUCCGCGCCGCAUUAGCUAGUUGGUAAGGUAACGGCUUACCAAGGCAACGAUGCGUAGCCGACCUGAGAGGGUGAUAGGCCACACUGGAACUGAGACACGGUCCAGACUCCUACGGGAGGCAGCAGUAGGGAAUCUUCCGCAAUGGGCGAAAGCGUGACGGAGCAACGCCGCGUGAGUGAUGAAGGUCUUCGGAUCGUAAAACUCUGUUAUUAGGGAAGAACAAAUGUGUAAGUAACUAUGCACGUCUUGACGGUACCUAAUCAGAAAGCCACGGCUAACUACGUG